Molecule: ribosomal RNA, 361 nt
Filed under: uncultured bacterium
Lineage: Bacteria
Description: bacterial SSU rRNA
Rfam family: Bacterial small subunit ribosomal RNA
Source: RNAcentral
CAGUGAGGGAAGGCGGGUACGUUAAUAGCGUGCUUGUUUGACGUUAGCUGCAGAAGAAGCACCGGCUAACUCCGUGCCAGCAGCCGCGGUAAUACGGAGGGUGCGAGCGUUAAUCGGAAUUACUGGGCGUAAAGCGCAUGCAGGUGGUUUGUUAAGUCAGAUGUGAAAGCCCGGGGCUCAACCUCGGAAUUGCAUUUGAAACUGGCAGACUAGAGUACUGUAGAGGGGGUAGAAUUUCAGGUGUAGCGGUGAAAUGCGUAGAGAUCUGAAGGAAUACCAGUGGCGAAGGCGGCCCCCUGGACAAAGACUGACGCUCAGAUGCGAAAGCGUGGGGAGCAAACAGGAUUAGAUACCCUGGUAG